UUUAACUUUGGAGUCAGCGAAACAACUAAUGGCGGACGGUAAUAAAGAAGAACUACAGAAAUGUUUUGGGGCUCGAAUGGAGUUUGGGACAGCCGGCCUUCGAGCUGCUAUGGGAACGGGAAUUUCUCAUAUGAAUGACUUGACCAUCAUCCAGACAACACAGAAAUUUAUUGAAUGCCUACCAAGUGCCAGGCUUUGAAGAUACAACAAUGACUAAAACAGACAGAUUCCCUCAUGGAACUUUCAUUCCAGUGCAAAUCCACCAGCUAAGCUGACGACUUUUAUGGUCUUGAACUUCUGCAAUGGUGGUAGCAAUGCACACAUGGAGAAGUUUCUCUAUCGGCCGGAAUAACCAGAAGCUGAUUCUCUUUCAUGUUAAUUGAUAGUGUAGGCGGAAAUUAUUGCUGAGUUCCUUUGCCUUCGUUUGUAAAUUUUACUGUCAGAGUCUACACCCAACUUUUAGGAAUAGAGAUGAAACCUUCUGUCAUGA
Leptonychotes weddellii (Weddell seal) is the source of this 490-nucleotide non-coding RNA. The record is from RefSeq and is a predicted model, not a curated record. NCBI's taxonomy places the organism in Eukaryota, Metazoa, Chordata, Mammalia, Carnivora, Phocidae.